AAUUGUUUUUUGUACUAAUAAAUAAAUUAAAAUAAUUAUUAAAUUAUUGUUAUCAUUAAAUUUUAAUAUGCAUCAUUUGAAAAAAGUCAUUAAAAAUUGUAAUCAUUUUAAAAUAAAAUGUUUUAUAUUAAAAAAAAUUUUACUUUUGAAAAAAAGACAAUCGCUUUUCUGAAGAAAAAUUAUUAUUCUCAUCUGUCAAUUAAAUUUUCGAGACUUUGAAAUUUCUAAAUUCAUGUUAAAAAAUUUGUUAAAUAAUUUAAAAAUUUCCAAACACAAAAAAUUAUCUUCAUGGCACUUUACGAUUGGUAUAAACAAUUAAAUUCUUCUAAUGACACUUUUCAAGAAGUUUUCAAAAAAUUACUCAAAACCGCAUUAACAAAGGAAGAUCAAUUUUUAUUGACACAAGAGAAAAACAAGAUAAAAAUUGAAAAAGACUUAAUAAAAUCAUGUAAAAAUAAUAAUCUGCAAUCGGGAAUAAUUAGAAAAGCUUGUGAUGAUGUUUUGAGAAGAAUGAAUAUUACUGACUCGAAUUAAGUGAGAAAUAAAUAAAAGUUGAUCUAUUAAUAGUUUUCAAGAAAAAAGAAAAAAAAAUGAUAAGCGACAAAGAAGUUUUUAGGAAUUUUCUCCUUGACACAGCAGUUGAAGAUGCACUUGAAAUUUUACUCGGGAAUUAUCCUAAAAAAACCGAUAAAUCCAAUUACAAUAUUCCAAUUCGCUAUUGGAAAUAUAAUGGUAUUUGGACAAAUGAAGAGGAAUAUUUAGAAACUUCCGGAAAGCAUUUUUUCAUGAAAAUGGCAAUAACGGCUUGGGAUUUUCUUAAUGUAUCAAACGUUUUUCGAAAAUCGUGAAAACAAAUGUGAGUUUUCAACAAAUGUAUGUGAACAUUCAAAAUACUUUCAUUAUUUGUUAGUUUUCAAUUCACAAAACUUCAUGACAAGAAAAUAUUUUUUUAUUUUUUUUUUAUCACAUUUUAAUAACUAUAUUUUUAUAUCAUUUUUAUCAUUCAAUAUCCACGAUUGCCGCGGAGAAAAAAUAAAAAUUUAAACAAAUCGAGGUUAAAAAUAGUUUUUUUUU
Long non-coding RNA from Leptopilina boulardi, 1074 nucleotides. RefSeq lists it as uncharacterized. The record is from RefSeq and is a predicted model, not a curated record. The transcript has 2 exons. NCBI's taxonomy places the organism in Eukaryota, Metazoa, Arthropoda, Insecta, Hymenoptera, Figitidae.